This 116-nucleotide transfer-messenger RNA is filed under the name Acidobacteriota bacterium. Its description in RNAcentral is "partial transfer-messenger RNA". It matches the Rfam family "transfer-messenger RNA", at positions 257 to 374 of the family's 374-position model. From Rfam's summary of the family: Bacterial tmRNA, also known as 10Sa RNA or SsrA, is named for its dual tRNA and mRNA-like properties. Its role is to liberate the mRNA from a stalled ribosome. Lineage: Bacteria; Pseudomonadati; Acidobacteriota. The record is from RNAcentral.
AUCCCCCUCUUGCCGGUUCCGCAUGGGGUGGUCGAAAAAUACCGAACCGGAAACGCACGUAGUCUUUUUGCGAUUGACUUUCUCGGACGCGGGUUCAACUCCCGCCGCCUCCACCA